GUUAUUUUGCCGUGCGCAAUCUGCACCGUCCAGCAAUCGUGGCUAGCGCACGCCCCACUCCCUGCCCGUAAGAAGCGCAUCGCCCUGCCGCGAUGGUUUUCUAGCCGUCCGCUGCCCACCCUCCUGCCGUCGAUUAGUAUUAGGUUAACAAAAUAGUUCCGGUCUUCAAGCGAUCUUGAUCUCGAUCUGAGAGGAGCGACUGCGGCAGAAGAGGAGGCACCUGCGGCGGAGGCGGCUCCAGCAGAUCGGCAGGCGGCCGCGGUGUGGUCAUUCCGGUGUUCCCCGCACACGGGUCACAAGCAAUAGUCUGGAGAUAGACAAACCAGGAGAAAAUGCGAGCUUCAGUGUUUCACCUGGUUUGCCUUUGCAUUAUCCUCUUGUACCAUCUUCUUUUCCCCUGUAAUGGCAGGUAUGGUGUUUACAGCACUGUAAUAUCUGUCGUAAAAAUAGAGAACAGCCAUCUCAACAUGUGGUCCACCAGAUUGCAGGAGCAUGUCUCGUGUAGUUUGUACUGUGCUGGUUGCAGCCCCAUAUCGUGUCCCUCGUAAGCACUGAAUGAAUUUCCCUCUGUACAAGAUAACAAUGAUUUAUUUGACCUCAACCUGUCUUCCGCUUGCUAGCAGAAAAAAACAUACGCACAAAUCUAUCUUAAUUCACUAUAUUGCUCUGGAUCAACUCUGUACCAUUUGAUCUGAUCCUGUGUGGCUAUUUGUGAGAUAUGUCGUUUCUUUUCCACCUGAUGCUGAGCUGAGACCUGAGAGCUCAAGCUUGGAGGUCACCCAUCUCCUUUGGCUCGAGCUCUCUGAGCUCGUCCGCUUCACUCCUACUGCAGCUCUGGUAGAACAUGCAGCUGACGAUGAUCUCCAGCACGCCUGCGUUAAUGAUGUGCGCCUGUCUUUUUUUGCCCUUUGUGUUUCAGCAGAUGGAGCACAAUAGGAAUUGUGUUUCUAGGGAACCAUUUGCUGAUUUGACCAACACUGGUGGCAUCGUAGAUGUAGAUUCGAAGGAGCUUAAAGAGGCAGAUGGAGUGAGUGCGUUCUGCUUCAGUAUCCGAAGAUCAGAAAAACGAGCGUAACAAGAGAUGGUGUGAAGCUUAUAAGAGGAAAAAGGAGAUGAAUAGAGAGCAGGAAAACAAAUGUAUUGAUACUGUUCAGGCUGCGCAGUAGACAAUUCGACUUACAAAUGUAUUGGCUCCACCGGGAUGACACCUAUCGCGGAUGUGAAAAUGUUUGGCAAGGUUGUACGACGGAUUGCACGUGCAACAGCUCUGUUGCGGGGAGGAUGGAUAUAGCAGAAUGCCAGCGAAAGAAUUUAGCUCAACGAGGGUCUGUUUGGUUCGUGGGCUUAUUCUAGCCUGGCUAGAAUCUAGAGCCAGGCCAGCCCAAGCCUGUCCAAUAUUAGCAAUCUAUGCCGUAUUUGGUUUCUUGGUCAAUCCAAGUCUGGCUAGCUCAAGAUUGUAUUUGGUUGCUGUACAUUUGAUAUAAUAACUGUGUCUUGGCUGAAGGGUGAAGUACCGAUCUCUUUUUCCCCUCUCUCUCGCCAUUGCUCCAUCCACAUCAUCGUCAGCCCUUCCCCGCCGCCGCCGCCGCCGCCGCGGGCGACGCAUGUCCAGGAAGAAGAAGCCACGAGUUCCAUAAAUUUCACUGGUGAAGAAAUUGCACGAUGUUGGGAUGACGCAGCUGCCCAAUCCGCCCCAUCUCUGCUCUGAAAGCUUUCUCCGAUAGUGGGCAGGAGUGAAGGCGUCAGCGCAGACCCGUCCCGAAGCGGCGGCCCCGAAGACCCCCGCGGCGAUGACGGCCGAGGCCGGCGCCCCCCAGCCCGCGGCCGCAGCGCGAGGAGAGCCGUCGGAUGCUCCGCCCCCGCGGGCGAGCGGGAGCCGCGCGAAGACCUCCGCCGCCACGCGGGGAGCGCCGGCCGCGCCGCGCCGCCGGCCGUGCGGAGGACCUCCGCGCGCCGCGGGUGGGGAGCGCCGCCGGCCGCGCGUCGGACCUCCGCCGCCGCGGGCUGCUGUGGAACGAGGGGGGCGAAUCCAAGUUCGCAGCUGCUGUCUUGGAACGAGAAAGAAGAGGAAGGUGGACGCCCAGCGGGUGACGCGAGACAAGUCCUGGAGCACCUUCGGCUUGGGCAAGCAUGGCUAACUGGAGACGCUCGUGAUUCACGUUACCGUGGAGGCAGGCUAAGGGGCCGAUUUGGUUUGUUGUAGCCUGGCUAAAGAGGCUAGCCAGGUAUCCAAACAUACGCUGGUGUGGCUUAUUGGAGUGUGGUUGGGGUUUAGCCAUCCAAGUCCAGUAUUUGGUACAUUUUAUAUUAUUAAUGAUCUUUUAGUCUUAA
Long non-coding RNA from Panicum hallii, 2331 nucleotides. RefSeq lists it as uncharacterized. Lineage: Eukaryota; Viridiplantae; Streptophyta; Magnoliopsida; Poales; Poaceae. The transcript has 7 exons. The record is from RefSeq and is a predicted model, not a curated record.